This 73-nucleotide transfer RNA is filed under the name Acidimicrobiia bacterium. RNAcentral's name for it is "tRNA-Lys". It matches the Rfam family "tRNA". From Rfam's summary of the family: Transfer RNA (tRNA) molecules are approximately 80 nucleotides in length. The record is from RNAcentral. Lineage: Bacteria; Bacillati; Actinomycetota; Acidimicrobiia.
GGGUCGCUAGCUCAAUUGGCAGAGCAGGAGCCUCUUAAGCUCAAGGUUGUGGGUUCGAUUCCCACGCGACCCA